Molecule: ribosomal RNA, 465 nt
Filed under: uncultured bacterium
Lineage: Bacteria
Description: partial 16S ribosomal RNA
Rfam family: Bacterial small subunit ribosomal RNA
Source: RNAcentral
GACGAACGCUGGCGGCGUGCUUAACACAUGCAAGUCGAACGGAAAGGCCCCUUUGGGGGUACUCGAGUGGCGAACGGGUGAGUAACACGUGAGUAACCUGCCCUUGACUUCGGGAUAACUUCAGGAAACUGGGGCUAAUACCGGCUAGGAAUCCUUGCUGCAUGGUGGGGGUUGGAAAGCUUCGGGGGUUUUGGAUGGACUCGCGGCUUAUUAGCUUGGUGGUGGGGUAGUGGGUUACCAAGGCUUUGACGGGUAGCCGGCCUGAGAGGGCGACCGGCCACAAUGGGAAUGGGGUACGGCCCAGACUCCUACGGGAGGCAGGAGGGGGGAAUAUUGCACAAUGGGCGGAAGCCCGAUGCAGCAACGCCGCGGGCGGGAUGACGGCCUUCGGGUUGGAAACCGCUUUCAGCAGGGGCGAAGCUUGUGGUGACGGUACCUGCAGAAGAAGCACCGGCUAACUACGUG